CUUGACAUGCCGCGAAUCCUCUUGAAAGAGAGGGGUGCAUUCGGGAACGCGGAUUUUAAUUUAAAGGUCAAUAUAAAAGCUAGCAAAUGAAAAAAACCAAAAUGAGUUUAUCUUGUGAAAAAAAGAACUUCUACUUAAUGUCAUAUCCAGCUCAAGUAAAAUCAUAAUAAUUAUUUAAACCAUAAGCUUUUGUAUCAAAAUCGAUAUCUUAGAUCUCAAAUGUUAACAAAAAUAAUGUUAACCAUGUCUUACUAUAAGUUAUCUUACAUUAAAAUAUAAUGAUGUUAUACAUAUUCAAUUCAAUAAUUACAAAUGUAAAGAUAAAAUCAUUUUGUUUCCCCCAAUUAAUGUUAGGGUGGCAGGCAUAUAUAUUAUUUUCAAUACUAGCAGUGCCUUCACAUGUAUCUAGACCUUGUUUUACACGGGUGGAGGUAAUUAGGUAAUGUAUGUGCAAAAUCCAUGGUGUUCAUCAUCUCCAUCACUAUACAACCAGUUGCUAACCCAAAGCGUUUUGGCAAAAUAAAUUUUGCUUCUUGCCAGCAAAAAAGGUUCCUUCCCCGACCUGCCGCUAUCACUUUAUUCGGACUUAUGGCUGCUGAGUAGUUCAUACCAUGAAAAAGUAUUAUCUUAUGCUUGGUGAAUAAUUAGCAUCUGAAAUGUAACUAAAAUUGCAAGCAAUAUAUUUUCAUAACCCCUGAUGAGGAAAAUAUGGUUGGAAGCAAGUAUUGAUGAUGCAGAAAUUUAUAUCAUAUCAAAUAUAUAUCAAUUAAACACAACUAACAAAACUUAUAUUGAGUUGCCCAAGAGAAAUAGGUACAAACUUCUAAAAUAUCUCGAAGAUAAUCUUCUAAACUUCUAUAAUCUUUUUAAAUAGUUGCAACUUAUUAUGCAAUUAAAUGUAAUUUUCAACAAUUUUUUUUAAAUUGCAUUUGUGAUUGCAUAUAUGGUUGCUAACAAUUGCACAUACAAUUGCAUCAUCUCAUUUAGAACAAUUUAUGUUGAUGCAACUCUCAUACUCCUUUCUAUUUUCAGGACAUAGUUGGUGCUUUUCCUCGGCUGUACUUCUCCAUUAGCUGAGCUAACUCUGCAUCAAACUCCUUAUCCAACUUUACAUUCUUCUCGCAGCGCUGCCUCUUCAACUCAACCUUCCUCUCUUCCCGAUAUUUUCGAAAUUUGUAUCUUUCUUCGGCAACUCAAUAUGGGUUUUCUUAGUUAUUUUCGAUUGAAUUUUUUAUUUUAGUUGAUUUUCUGGUUGUUAUAAGUUUCAACUGUUUGAAAAGCAACCAUGAAAUUAACUAAAAU
Molecule: long non-coding RNA, 1302 nt
Filed under: Daucus carota (carrot)
Lineage: Eukaryota; Viridiplantae; Streptophyta; Magnoliopsida; Apiales; Apiaceae
Description: long non-coding RNA (DCAR_LNC005045)
Source: RNAcentral